RNAcentral lists this transfer RNA (78 nucleotides) under Deltaproteobacteria bacterium. Its description in RNAcentral is "tRNA-Glu". It matches the Rfam family "tRNA". From Rfam's summary of the family: Transfer RNA (tRNA) molecules are approximately 80 nucleotides in length. Their secondary structure includes four short double-helical elements and three loops (D, anti-codon, and T loops). Lineage: Bacteria; Pseudomonadati; Myxococcota; Myxococcia. RNAcentral also lists the same sequence under 4 other names. The record is from RNAcentral.
GUCCCCAUCGUCUAGUCAGGUCCAGGACACAGGCCUUUCACGCCUGCGACAGGGGUUCGAAUCCCCUUGGGGACGCCA